GGGAUUGCCUCAGUAACGGCGAGUGAAGCGGCAAUAGCUCAAAUUUGAAAUCUGGCUCUUUCAGAGUCCGAGUUGUAAUUUGUAGAGGAUGCUUCGGCUUACGCCCCGGUCUAAGUUCCUUGGAACAGGACGUCACAGAGGGUGAGAAUCCCGUACGUGGCCGGCGGCCUCCGCCAUGUGAAGCUCCUUCGACGAGUCGAGUUGUUUGGGAAUGCAGCUCUAAAUGGGAGGUAAAUUUCUUCUAAAGCUAAAUACUGGCCAGAGACCGAUAGCGCACAAGUAGAGUGAUCGAAAGAUGAAAAGCACUUUGGAAAGAGAGUUAAAAAGUACGUGAAAUUGUUGAAAGGGAAGCGCUUGCAACCAGACUUGCCCGCGGUUGUUCAGCCGGUCCUUCGGCCGGUGCACUCUUCCGCGGUCAGGCCAGCAUCAGUUUAGGCGGUCGGAUAAAGGCUCUAGGAAUGUAGCUCUCUUCGGGGAGUGUUAUAGCCUGGGGCGCAAUACGGCCCGCCUGGACUGAGGUCCGCGCUUCGGCUAGGAUGCUGGCGUAAUGGUUGUAAGCGGCCCGUCUUGAAACACGGACCAAGGAGUCUAACAUCUAUGCGAGUGUUUGGGUGUCAAACCCGUGCGCGUAAUGAAAGUGAACGGAGGUGGGAACCUUAGGGUGCACCAUCGACCGAUCCUGAUGUCUUCGGAUGGAUUUGAGUAAGAGCAUAGCUGUUGGGACCCGAAAGAUGGUGAACUAUGCCUGAAUAGGGUGAAGCCAGAGGAAACUCUGGUGGAGGCUCGCAGCGGUUCUGACGUGCAAAUCGAUCGUCAAAUUUGGGUAUAGGGGCGAAAGACUAAUCG
This 846-nucleotide ribosomal RNA is filed under the name Thaxteriellopsis lignicola. RNAcentral describes it as "partial 18S ribosomal RNA". It matches the Rfam family "Eukaryotic large subunit ribosomal RNA", at positions 71 to 937 of the family's 3401-position model. Lineage: Eukaryota; Fungi; Ascomycota; Dothideomycetes; Tubeufiales; Tubeufiaceae. The record is from RNAcentral.